This 371-nucleotide ribosomal RNA is filed under the name uncultured bacterium. RNAcentral describes it as "partial 16S ribosomal RNA". It matches the Rfam family "Bacterial small subunit ribosomal RNA", at positions 527 to 896 of the family's 1533-position model. The record is from RNAcentral.
AGAGGUCCCGAGCGUUGUUCGGAUUCACUGGGCGUAAAGGGUGCGUAGGUGGCUUGUUAAGUUGAAGGUGAAAUCUCGGGGCUCAACUCCGAAACUGCCUUCAAUACUGGCGAGCUCGAGGAUUGUAGAGGAGAAUGGAAUUCACGGUGUAGCAGUGAAAUGCGUAGAUAUCGUGAGGAAGACCAGUGGCGAAGGCGAUUCUCUGGGCAAUUCCUGAUACUGAGGCACGAAGGCCAGGGGAGCAAACGGGAUUAGAUACCCCGGUAGUCCUGGCAGUAAACGGUGCACGUUUGGUGUGGGAGGAUUCGACCCCUUCCGUGCCGGAGCUAACGCGUUAAACGUGCCGCCUGGGAAGUACNNNNNNNNNAUUA